UGGGUUGUGGCUCAAUGGUAGAGUGCUCGCUUAGCAUGUGAGAGGUGCUAGGUUCAACCCUCAGCACUACAU
This 72-nucleotide transfer RNA is filed under the name Marmota monax (woodchuck). It matches the Rfam family "tRNA". From Rfam's summary of the family: Transfer RNA (tRNA) molecules are approximately 80 nucleotides in length. Lineage: Eukaryota; Metazoa; Chordata; Mammalia; Rodentia; Sciuridae. The record is from Rfam by way of RNAcentral.